CAUAAUUUGUGGUAGUGGGGGACUGCG
This 27-nucleotide non-coding RNA is filed under the name Gallus gallus (chicken). Lineage: Eukaryota; Metazoa; Chordata; Aves; Galliformes; Phasianidae. RNAcentral also lists the same sequence under 3 other names. The record is from RNAcentral.